AGAGUUUGAUCUUGGCUCAGGAUGAACGCUAGCUACAGGCUUAACACAUGCAAGUCGAGGGGAAACGAUAGAGAAAGCUUGCUUUUUCUAGGCGUCGACCGGCGCACGGGUGAGUAACGCGUAUCCAACCUGCCCACCACUUGGGGAUAACCUUGCGAAAGUAAGACUAAUACCCAAUGACGUCUCUAGAAGACAUCUGAAAGGGAUUAAAGAUUUAUCGGUGAUGGAUGGGGAUGCGUCUGAUUAGCUUGUUGGCGGGGUAACGGCCCACCAAGGCAACGAUCAGUAGGGGUUCUGAGAGGAAGGUCCCCCACAUUGGAACUGAGACACGGUCCAAACUCCUACGGGAGGCAGCAGUGAGGAAUAUUGGUCAAUGGGCGAGAGCCUGAACCAGCCAAGUAGCGUGCAGGAUGACGGCCCUAUGGGUUGUAAACUGCUUUUAUAAGGGAAUAAAGUGAGCCUCGUGAGGCUUUUUGCAUGUACCUUAUGAAUAAGGACCGGCUAAUUCCGUGCCAGCAGCCGCGGUAAUACGGAAGGUCCGGGCGUUAUCCGGAUUUAUUGGGUUUAAAGGGAGCGUAGGCCGGAGAUUAAGCGUGUUGUGAAAUGUAGAUGCUCAACGUCUGCACUGCAGCGCGAACUGGUUUCCUUGAGUACGCACAAAGUGGGCGGAAUUCGUGGUGUAGCGGUGAAAUGCUUAGAUAUCACGAAGAACUCCGAUUGCGAAGGCAGCUCACUGGAGCGCAACUGACGCUGAAGCUCGAAAGUGCGGGUAUCGAACAGGAUUAGAUACCCUGGUAGUCCGCACGGUAAACGAUGGAUGCCCGCUGUUGGUCUGAAUAGGUCAGCGGCCAAGCGAAAGCAUU
RNAcentral lists this ribosomal RNA (863 nucleotides) under uncultured bacterium. RNAcentral's name for it is "bacterial SSU rRNA". It matches the Rfam family "Bacterial small subunit ribosomal RNA", at positions 8 to 861 of the family's 1533-position model. The record is from RNAcentral.